This 516-nucleotide ribosomal RNA is filed under the name Triticum aestivum (bread wheat). Its description in RNAcentral is "partial small subunit ribosomal RNA". Lineage: Eukaryota; Viridiplantae; Streptophyta; Magnoliopsida; Poales; Poaceae. The record is from RNAcentral.
AUGAGUCUAUUAAACACUUAUUUUUUUGAGUGCAAAAUCGCUCGUGCAGUUUGGGUCAUAGUUUAAGUAGCUUCAAAUCUAUACCCCUCACGUAGUGCACGUAACAUGUUCAGCAAUUGGUUGUGGGGUAUUGAUAAACAAUUUUCUACAUGUAUUCUUGUGGGGGCGGCUGCCUUAUGCUGGGCAAUGUGGCUUACCAGGAAUGAUGUGGUUUUUAAUAAUAAAUAUGGUUCUUCUCCAAUGCAGGUUAUUUAUGCAUGUACGCGAUGGCUCCGUACUUGGUCUAUCAUGCAAAAGUCAGAGGACAAAGACCUUUUUAUGAUGGCGUCUAUAUGGUUGGAGCGCAUGGCCUGGGAGGUUUUCUCCCUCCAUGGAUGGCGGUGUAAUCUUCGUAUAGGAUCUGCCCCACCCAAGGUUGGAUUGAUUUAUUUUUGCUGUAAAACUAUGUUUAUUUUUCGGUUGUUUGGACUUGUUGGUUGUGUGCAUCAUGUUAUGCAGAGGCUGAGUAUUCUUUAG